This 993-nucleotide long non-coding RNA is filed under the name Scleropages formosus (Asian bonytongue). RNAcentral's name for it is "lncRNA (ENSSFOG00015031917.1)". The record is from RNAcentral. Lineage: Eukaryota; Metazoa; Chordata; Actinopteri; Osteoglossiformes; Osteoglossidae.
AUGUCCAGAUGCUUCUUCUUUCUUUGGAUUGAUGAAGACGAUGCAUACUCAUAUAUACCGUGCAUUCAGAGAGGCGGGAAGGAACAUCAUCCAGAGAUUCUUAUGACGCCCGCAACACGACUUUUUGGGCUGUAUCCGCAUCUGGACGCGCAGAAAAAGCGCCGCCGACACUCGUGUCCCCCCGUCUCGAGACGUGCACCUCUUAAUAAGCGUGGAGGGAGAGCCUCACCUCCCCAGGAAGGAGCAAGGAGCUUUUUCUCGGCAAGAAGUCCUAAUGAAGAACUCAAAAGAUCGUCACAUGCUUCAUGUGUUUAAUAUAUAUGCUACGUACAGAAAUUUAUUAUUGAUAAAAUCCUGCUUAGCGUACUAGUGUUCUAAUCUAAUGUAGUAUUUUUCAGCGUAUCGAAAAUACUCUUUCGAGGUGUAUCUACAUAAUUUAUUGUUCAUUAUUAUAUUGUAUUGUUCUGCUUUUGUUUUCCUUGAAAUACGUUUUUCAGAUUUAUUUUUGGCAGCAUACUGGAACGCUUUCUAGCGGGGCUAAAGAAUAGUGAGACAUAGUGGAAGUGUGAAAUAUCAUUAUAUGGUAAAAUAAUGGGAGCGGUAAUCCUACUUCCGGACACUCUUCUGCAGUAUUUAACAAGGUCCUCCAAAUAGGGGAUUAGCGGAUCCACAGAAAAGCUUUCCUGUUCUCUAUUCAUUCCCUUUCUUACCUUAUAAUUGUAAAACACAGUAUUGGUUCAUUUGGUACAUGAAAAGUAACCGGACGUGUGCAGAACCAUGCGUGGAAAAUAGUAAAGAAAAGCGUGUCGCGAUUAUUUCAAAAAAAAUAUGAAAAGUCGUGAGGGAAGGGGGAGGUUCAAUGAGUGUAACUUUUUUUUUUUUUGUGCGACGACUUGUGUUUGCCCAGGCGUUGCUUUCGUCUGCAUUAUUGAACAUUUGUAAGAAACUUUUAACACAUUUUCUGAUAAUAAUCAAUCUUUGACAUGUACAGAA